This 275-nucleotide ribosomal RNA is filed under the name uncultured bacterium. RNAcentral describes it as "partial 16S ribosomal RNA". It matches the Rfam family "Bacterial small subunit ribosomal RNA", at positions 523 to 796 of the family's 1533-position model. The record is from RNAcentral.
AUACGUAGGGUGCGAGCGUUAUCCGGAAUCAUUGGGCGUAAAGAGCUCGUAGGCGGUUCAGCAAGUCGGCUGUGAAAGUUCGAGGCUCAACCUCGAAAUUGCAGUCGAUACUGCUGUGACUCGAGUCCGGUAGAGGAGAAUGGAAUUCUCGGUGUAGCGGUGAAAUGCGCAGAUAUCGAGAGGAACACCAGUAGCGAAGGCGGUUCUCUGGGCCGGCACUGACGCUGAGGAGCGAAAGCGUGGGGAGCAAACAGAAUUAGAAACCCCAGUAGUCC